This 1394-nucleotide unclassified non-coding RNA is filed under the name Melitaea cinxia (Glanville fritillary). Its description in RNAcentral is "misc RNA ENSMCXG00005003500.1". Lineage: Eukaryota; Metazoa; Arthropoda; Insecta; Lepidoptera; Nymphalidae. The record is from RNAcentral.
UUUCUCUCGAGAGUUAGUUAACGCACAUCACAUUUUUUUUAUUACGGUCUCUGAUACAGAGACGAAUAAUUUUGAUAAUUUAAGCAUCCGUAACCGUGAUCUCUUAAAAUUAUUGUGAUCUUUGCAUAGCGUGUCCUCGAAUAAAAGAAUAUAUCGUAUCAGUGUUUAUCGCCCUCAAACUGGCCUAUCGCAAUCCACUGUCGAAAAUAGGCUUCCCCAAGUUCGCACCAAACGUCCCGGUUCUCCGUAAUCCUCAUCUAGCCUCCACCGGACCCUUACGUAGAUCGUCGAUCGAGCGGGCCGGAGGGCGUCCAACACUGCAUUUGUCAACACGCGGCCUACACGUCGGACACGUCUGCUCCCUCAUCCAUCGGUCCUGCGACAUACGUAACCAGCCUACUGCUACUUCGGCUUUCUUAUUUUUGAAUUUUUAAUUAAUUCAAUUUUUUAACAAAUUAUCUAGAGUUGCAUUCAUAUUUAAAUGGAAUUGAACAAUGGAAUAGCUCCAUUGGAAAACCUAAAUAGUUUUUAUAGUAAGAAUUUUUACACAAUAGAUUGAAGUAAAUGGCUUUUAGUAUUUAAGUAAAUUUCGUACGAAGAUUAUGUUGCGAAUUUUUUGUUCACUAACUUUGUCCGACAGAGGUCAAUACGUAAAUAAUGAACGGAAAUGAUAAAAAUUAUAUAAAGUAGCCUUUAUGAAUCUGGAACUUAUGUAGUUUGCCAAUAUGUGUACCUAUUAUGACCGAACUGUAUCAUACAUGCAUCACUGUUAUGAUGCUAAAAAAAAAUUACUAUCGAUUAGAUUUUUGAUGUUUUCAACCUAGACAAGUUUACGGUAGCACGAAAGGGCUUUUUAAAAAAAAUUACAAUAAUUACACUAAAACUAUUUAAUUAAAAAUUAUUUAAAAUUACAAUGGACACGUCCGAACAGAAUUACAUGCUCAUUAAGCAUUUACUUCUAUUGUUCUCAUGCUUUGGUCCAACAUAACUACCUCGUUUGUUGUAUAUUUCAUUGUGCUUUUUAACAAAUUUUGUUCAUUUUUUUUUUUUGAAAGAUUAUUGUAGCUAGAAAAAUGCAUAGGGAACAAAUAAAAUGUACGUGAAAAUACAAAAUCUUAUGCCUUAUAUACGGCAACAAAACAUGUUAAGCAUCUACGUUACUAUAGUCAUUGAAAUAUUAUGUGAUAUACGAUGAAUAUUUGUUAUAUUCGUAUCACUAAUAAACAAACAUACUUAUCCAAAUAAAGAAUUGUAUCAUUUUAAUGUGAAACAAAAAGUGAAUGCGAUUAGGUUAUAUGUGCAUAUUCCUUGGCGAUACACCGUUAGUUAUAACCUAUUGUGUAUUUCAACCAAAGAGAUAAACUUUAAUAAAAAUGUAAGAAAAGAAAAUUACU